UUUGUCGGUCCUAGAAACACCGAUGAAUAAGGGGUGGGCAAGUUCUGGUGUCAGCCGCCGCGGUAAAACCAGCACCUCAAGUGGUCAGGAUGAUUAUUGGGCCUAAAGCAUCCGUAACCUGCUUUGUUAGUUUUCGGUUAAAUCUGUAUGCUCAACGUACAGGCUGCCGGAAAUACUGCAAAGCUAGGGAGUGGGAGAGGUAGACGGUACUCGGUAGGAAGGGGUAAAAUCCUUUGAUCUAUUGAUGACCACCUGUGGCGAAGGCGGUCUACCAGAGCACGUCCGACGGUGAGGGAUGAAAGCUGGGGGAGCAAACCGGAUUAGAUACCCGGGUAGUCCCAGCUGUAAACCAUGCAAACUCAGUGAUGCAUUGGCUUGCGGCCAAUGCAGUGCUGCAGGGAAGCCGUUAAGUUUGCCGCCUGGGAAGUACGUACGCAAGUAUGAAACUUAAAGGAAUUGGCGGGGGAGCACCACAAGGGUGAAGCCUGCGGUUCAAUUGGAGUCAACGCCAGAAAUCUUACCCGGAGAGACAGCAGAAUGAAAGUCAGCUGAAGACUUUACCAGACAGCUGAGAGGUGGUGCAUGGCCAAGGCG
Molecule: ribosomal RNA, 594 nt
Filed under: uncultured marine group I thaumarchaeote
Lineage: Archaea; Thermoproteati; Nitrososphaerota
Description: bacterial SSU rRNA
Rfam family: Archaeal small subunit ribosomal RNA
Source: RNAcentral